ACAUCGGUAGCACAAGGGUUAGUGCAGUCUGCCGGAAACGGAAGGACGCGAGUUCGAUUCCCGUCCGAUGUC
RNAcentral lists this transfer RNA (72 nucleotides) under Nippostrongylus brasiliensis. It matches the Rfam family "tRNA". Rfam says of the family: Transfer RNA (tRNA) molecules are approximately 80 nucleotides in length. Their secondary structure includes four short double-helical elements and three loops (D, anti-codon, and T loops). The record is from Rfam by way of RNAcentral. Lineage: Eukaryota; Metazoa; Nematoda; Chromadorea; Rhabditida; Heligmosomidae.